RNAcentral lists this ribosomal RNA (497 nucleotides) under uncultured bacterium. RNAcentral describes it as "partial 16S ribosomal RNA". It matches the Rfam family "Bacterial small subunit ribosomal RNA", at positions 28 to 507 of the family's 1533-position model. The record is from RNAcentral.
GAUGAACGCUGGCGGCGUGCCUAAUACAUGCAAGUCGAGCGAACGUACGAGAAGCUUGCUUCUCUGAUGUUAGCGGCGGACGGGUGAGUAACACGUGGAUAACCUACCUAUAAGACUGGGAUAACUUCGGGAAACCGGAGCUAAUACCGUAUGAUAUUUUGAACCGCAUGGUUCAAAAGUGAAAGACGGUCUCUCUGUCACUUAUAGAUGGAUCCGCGCUGCAUUAGCUAGUUGUUAAGGUAACGGCUUACCAAGGCAACGAUGCAUAGCCGACCUGAGAGGGUGAUCGGCCACACUGGAAGUGAGACGCGGUCCAGACUCCUACGGGAGGCAGCAGUAGGGAAUCUUCCGCAAUGGGCGAAAGCCUGACGGAGCAACGCCGCGUGAGUGAUGAAGGCGUUCGGAUCGUAAAACUCUGUUAUUAGUGAAGAACAUAUGUGUAAGUAACUGUGCACAAAUUGACGGUACCUAAACAGAAAGCCCCGGCUAACUACGUG